RNAcentral lists this ribosomal RNA (433 nucleotides) under uncultured bacterium. RNAcentral describes it as "partial 16S ribosomal RNA". It matches the Rfam family "Bacterial small subunit ribosomal RNA", at positions 29 to 507 of the family's 1533-position model. The record is from RNAcentral.
AACGAACGCUGGCGGCAUGCCUAACACAUGCAAGUCGAACGAGACCUUCGGGUUUUGUGUCGCACGGGGGCGUAACGCGCGGGAACCUGCCCUCAUGGGUGGGAUAACUCCCCGAGAAACGUGCUCUUAUCGGAUAAACGCUUCUUACCAGAGAUUUAUCGCCGUUGGGUAGGCCCGCGUGUGAUUAGCUAGUUGGUAGGGUAAAAGCCUACCAAGGCGACGAUCCAUAGCUGGUCUGAGAGGAUGAUCAGCCACACUGGGACUGAGACACGGCCCAGACUCCUACGGGAGGCAGCAGUGGGGAAUAUUGGACAAUGGGCGCAAGCCUGAUCCAGCCAUGCCGCGUGAGUGAUGAAGGCCUUAGGGUUGUAAAGCUCUUUUAUCCGGGAUGAUAAUGACGGUACCGGAAGAAUAAGCCCCGGCUAACUUCGUG